ACAGAGGAUGAGAUGGUUGGAUGGCAUCACCAACUCGAUGUACAUGAGUUUGAGCAAGCUCCGGGAGCUAGUAAAGGACAGGGAAGCCUGGCGGACUGCAGUCCAUGGGGUCGCAAAGAGUCUCACACGACUUACGGACUGAACAACAAAGAAUUGGUGAAUACCCUGGGCGGACAGCUCGGAAAUACCCAGCUCCCCCUGGCGGGCUCUGGCGCCUGGCGCUUCGCCGCUUCUCUGCCCCGCCCUCUAGUGCCGCAGGGGUGUCGGCGCUGGGCUGCUCCGCUCUGCACCAGGCUGCCAGGGACGCAUUUUCUACUGUUUCUCAACUUUUCCCUUCCAGUCCUGAGAGUUCUUGCUCAAGUUCUUGUUUCUUGCCAGAAGAGAGUCACCUUUAAUGGACAACAUUGGUCUUGGGCCCUACUUGGAAUAAAAGUGCUUAAAAAACGUAGAACAUCCGGCUGGAAAGAACAUGCCCAUUUGCAGUAACCAGGAUGGGAUCCAGGCCCCUCGACGAGAGCCUCCGAUUCAGCACCGUGGGGGCCGAUGGCGGGCUGUCGGGGAGCCGUAGCCGGGCCGGGGUGCCCCUCUUCACCACCCGGAUGUCAUUCCCAGCUGUCAGGAGGGAGGUAGCCUUUCUGUUCUAUUCAGGUUCUCAACAGGUUGGGAGGCUGGGCCCAUCCGCGUGCAGAGGAUGGUGUGCAUUACUCCGCCCACCGACUCCAAUACUUCUCUCUCCCGGAAACACCCUCGCAGACACCCGGAGACGCCCUCACAGACACCCGGGAACACCCUCACACACCCAGGAACACACAGACACCCGGGAACGCCCUCACGGACACCCGAAAGUAAUGUUUAACCAGCUUAUAUGAGGAAACAGCAACCCACUCGUGUUCUUGCCUGGAGAAUCCCAAGGAUAGAGGAGCCUGGCGGGCUACAGUCCACGGGGUCGAGAGAGUCGGACACGACUGAGUUACUAAACCAUGAACAUCUCGGCGCGCAGUCAAGCUGCUAAGUUAAUUAACCAUCACAGGGAAAAAUUAUUUCACUGAAGAAGUAACAGGACAAAAUAGGGCGGCCAACCAAAGACCCCAAGAAGCCAAGAAGGCGCUUCGGAGAUGCGGCGUCUGUCUGUGGCUCAGAGACUUCCCUGGUGGUCCAGUGGUUAAGAAUCCACCUGCCAGUGCAGAGGACACAGAUUCGAUCCUUGGUCCAGGAAGAUUCCACGUGCCUCAGGGCAAGCCUGAGCGCCGCAACAACUGAAGUCUGUGUGUCCUAGAAUCCAUCCUCUACAACCUGUGCACCACAGCUAGAGAGUAGCUCCCACUCGUGACAACGAGAGAAAGCCCACAUGCUGCAAUGAAGACCCAGUACAGCCAAAAAUAAAAUAAAUAAAUACAUAAAUAAAAGGACCACAAUGUUACAAUAAGAAAGAAAGCUACUUUUUAUUAAAUUAUAGCUGAUUUACAGUAUUGUGUGUGUUAGUUUUGGGUGUACAAAGUGAUUUGGUCAUACAUAUGUAUAUGUUGUUUUUCCUGAUUCUUUCUCGUUAUACUUUACUACAAGAAGUUGAAUGUAGUCCUCUGUUCUAUACAGUAAAACUUUGUUGUUUAUCUCAGAAAGUUACUUUAGUUUCUGAGUUUGGGUGGUGGUGGUGGUGGUGUGAGGACUUUUUGUUUGUUAAGUUUUUGUGUUUAAUUGUGACAACAGAAAAUGGUUGUGAGGAUUUGGGGAAGAAAUACAGAAUAUUCCUGAGGCCAGUUGCUUUAUAAAACCGACCACACAAAAUCUGUUGAUGAAGAAAAAAAGACAUUCUGAUUCCUAUCUGACCGUUUUUAGAUUGGGGCAUGGGGACGAUUAGGGACAGUGCAGGAAAUAACACGGUGUCCACAGAGGAGUGUCCCCUGCCCGUGACCUACAGAUUGCUGCAAACACUCUCUGCAAGUUGCAGGCACAGUUUUGAGUCCCCACAGUGUGGUUCAUGAUGCAAUUUGUAGUCUCAGUUUCUUUUACAAAAUUAUGAUGUUUAAAGCAUCGUGUAAUUAGGUCAGAGGAAAACAGUGUUUAUUCUAUGAGCUGAGCAGAGGCUGCACUUCUGAGUUCUCAUUAACCCAGUGGUUGAUUUGCUACUGCCAAGAGUCUGCUGACAAUGAAGGCAUGAGAGCAGGCCGACAGCCUCUCACAUGCGGCUAAUCCCCACGCCAGCUGUCCUGCUCAGCUCCGUCUUUAGACAAGCUGUCACCUCCCACGUCAAAUAACGCUGAGCGCCCACACGAGCCACACCUGCAGCAUCCCUCCUCCAGCUGUCUCGGGGGCUGGGGCCCCUGGCUCCAGAUCCUCAGAGCUGCUGCCGUCAGUGCCUCUGUGAGCUCUUGCACCUGUUAUUUGUAUGUUUCAGUGUGUGUUCAUUUGGAUAACCACUAAUUAUGUCCUGGUGUAAUAAAUAUAAAAU
This is a long non-coding RNA of Bos taurus (domestic cattle), 2449 nucleotides long. NCBI's taxonomy places the organism in Eukaryota, Metazoa, Chordata, Mammalia, Artiodactyla, Bovidae. The record is from Ensembl.